UUGCUUGCAAGGGGUACUCGAGUGGCGAACGGGUGAGUAACACGUGGGUGAUCUGCCUUGCACUUCGGGAUAAGCCUGGGAAACUGGGUCUAAUACCGGAUAGGACCAUGCUUUAGUGUGUGUGGUGGAAAGUUUUUCGGUGCAAGAUGAGCCCGCGGCCUAUCAGCUUGUUGGUGGGGUAAUGGCCUACCAAGGCGACGACGGGUAGCCGGCCUGAGAGGGUGUACGGCCACAUUGGGACUGAGACACGGCCCAGACUCCUACGGGAGGCAGCAGUGGGGAAUAUUGCACAAUGGGCGCAAGCCUGAUGCAGCGACGCCGCGUGGGGGAUGACGGCCUUCGGGUUGUAAACUCCUUUCGCUAGGGAAGAAGCCUUUUGGUGACGGUACCUGGAUAAGAAGCACCGGCUAACUACGUGCCAGCAGCCGCGGUAAUACGUAGGGUGCGAGCGUUGUCCGGAAUUACUGGGCGUAAAGAGCUCGUAGGUGGUUUGUCGCGUCGUCUGUGAAAUCCCGGGGCUUAACUUCGGGCGUGCAGGCGAUACGGGCAUAACUAGAGUGCUGUAGGGGAGACUGGAAUUCCUGGUGUAGCGGUGAAAUGCGCAGAUAUCAGGAGGAACACCGAUGGCGAAGGCAGGUCUCUGGGCAGUUACUGACGCUGAGGAGCGAAAGCAUGGGUAGCGAACAGGAUUAGAUACCCU
This 700-nucleotide ribosomal RNA is filed under the name Corynebacterium jeikeium. RNAcentral's name for it is "bacterial SSU rRNA". It matches the Rfam family "Bacterial small subunit ribosomal RNA", at positions 76 to 788 of the family's 1533-position model. The record is from RNAcentral. Lineage: Bacteria; Bacillati; Actinomycetota; Actinomycetes; Mycobacteriales; Corynebacteriaceae.